UUGCCCUACGGGAGGCAGCAGUAAGGAAUAUUGGUCAAUGGGCGGGAGCCUGAACCAGCCAAGUCGCGUGAGGGAAGAAGGUACUGAGUAUUGUAAACCUCUUUUGCCAGGGGACAAAGGCGGCCACGGGUGGCCGUAAGAGGGUACCUGGAGAAAAAGCAUCGGCUAACUCCGUGCCAGCAGCCACGGUAAUACGGAGGAUGCGAGCGUUAUCCGGAUUUAUUGGGUUUAAAGGGUGCGUAGGCGGACUGUUAAGUCAGCGGUAAAAGCCCGGGGCUCAACCCCGGCGAGCCGUUGAAACUGGC
Molecule: ribosomal RNA, 305 nt
Filed under: uncultured bacterium
Lineage: Bacteria
Description: bacterial SSU rRNA
Rfam family: Bacterial small subunit ribosomal RNA
Source: RNAcentral